ACAUUAUCAAUUACAGUGUUGACUAUAAUGU
Molecule: non-coding RNA, 31 nt
Organism: Cricetulus griseus (Chinese hamster)
Lineage: Eukaryota; Metazoa; Chordata; Mammalia; Rodentia; Cricetidae
Source: Rfam